Long non-coding RNA from Ictalurus punctatus (channel catfish), 1438 nucleotides. The record is from Ensembl. NCBI's taxonomy places the organism in Eukaryota, Metazoa, Chordata, Actinopteri, Siluriformes, Ictaluridae.
AACUCCCUGAGAGGACAUGAGGAAGACACCUUGACAGGAACCAGACUCAUCUGGGUGACACUGGACACCAAAUUGUGAUGGCUGGACGUUGUGUCAGAGCAUGUGGGGUGUUCACAGUAUGCAGUGGUUGGGACCUACCAAAGGUGGUCCAAAAAGGGACUUUUGAUGCAUGUGGGGAGUGAAGGCUAGCCUGUAUCACCCGAUUCCACAGAAGAGCUCCUAUAACACAAGUUGCUAAAAAAAAAAAGUUAAUGCUGGCUGUGAUAGAAAGGUGUCAGAACACACAGUUUAUUGCAGCUUGCUGUGUAAGGGGCUGAGUAAUGCCACACCAGUCAAAGUGCCCAUGCUGACCCCUGUCCAUCGCUGAAAGCACCUACAAUGGACACGUGAGUAUCAGAACUGGACCAUGAAGCAGUGGAAGAAGGGGACCUGGUCUGAUGAAUCACAUUUUCUUUUUACAUCGUGUGGACGGCAAAGUGUGUGUACGUCGCUUACCUGGGGAAAUGAUGGCACCAGGAUGCACUAUGGGAAGAAGGCAAGCCGGGGGAGGCAGUGUGAUGCUCUGUGCAGUGUUCUGCUGGGAAACUUUGGGUCCUGGCAUUCAUGUGGAUGUUACUUUGACACAUAUCACUUACCUAUUGUAAACAUUGCUGCAGACCAAAUACACCUGUUCAUGGUAGUUGUAUUCCCUAAUGGCAGUGGCCUCUUUCAGCAGGAUAAUGUGCCCUGCCACACUGCAAAAAUUGUUCAGGAGUGGUUUGAGGAACAUGACAAGUUGAGCUUAAGUUGUUGAUUUGGCCACCAAAUUCCCCAGAUCUCAAUCUGACCAAGCAUCUGUGGAAUGUGCUGAACAAAUAAAUCCGAUCUACGGAAGCCCCACCUCGCAACUUUCAGGACUUAGAGGAUCUGCUGCUAACGUCUUGGUGCCAGAUACCACAGCACACCUUCAGAAGUCUUGUGGAGUGCGUGCCUCGACGGGUUAGAGCUGUUUUUUUGGGGCCACAAUGGGGACCUACACAAUAUUAGUGCUGUGACUGUGAGAACCCUAAAAUCUGCAUAAGCAGUCAGCAUGUCACAUCCUGGGGCUAUGGGAACAAUACAGCCGCAAAGGAAAGGGACUGGCAGCACCAGGAUAUCCCAUCCCAGUUACUGCACCCUCUUCCUGAUGAGUUUUCCAGCAGCAUCCAGUUAGAGGACAAGGAGGUCAGGCUACCAUGUCCUUCCAAACUCUUCUAUCACCUGUGGUAGAGCACUUUAUACGUGACAGUUUAAGCAUUGGCACCAACCACAAAUCAGUGCAACAUAAUGUUUUAAUAAUAAUAAUAUAUUAGACAAAACAAAAUCAAAUCAAUGAAAGCAAUUUAUAUACUAUACACUGAUAUGGAAACUGCCACCCCGUCCAGGGUGUACCCUGCCCUGCCGAUGCUCCCUGGGAUAG